ACCUGAACCAAUUUUUAAGCCAGCUGUACAGCAUUGAUUUAAGAAGAAAUGGAAACCAUUCAAAGCUCUGUGAAUUUGGCAGAAAUUAACAGUUUUGGCUGAGUGUUACUGUGAGGUUUGGACUAAUUAAAACGUAAAGCUCACAGUGAAAUUCAGGAGACUUGAAUCCUUGCCGAAGGAAAGGUUUGCAUAGAUCUCUGCAAAUUGGAAGUGUCAAGGUUUCAGCAGCUCUGCUUGAUAAAACAGUGAUGAUCUGUCAAAGAGAACGCUCAGUGCUGUGACAGAUUGGACACGGCAGACCAAAUUGCAGUGGCUUAAGACAUCAGUGUCACCAAACCCUCCACUUCUCUGUGAGCAGUUCCUGGCCCAUCUGAGAAAUGAAGAGUGAGGCAGUGAUCACCUGUGGCACGAACGUCUCAGAGCAUGAAGCUGGUCCUAGGCAGAGGUGCCCUGAGCCACUGAAGGGGAAUUCUCUGUUGAAGUAGCGUCUGGACAGGAAGCUUAGAGACUUCUGGAGCAUCUGGGAGUGUGGUCUGCUGGUAGAACAGGAAAGCAACGGAAAAGCAUGGCAAACUGGGCACUGAGGAAACUCUCCAGCCUAGUGCAGGCAAGACCUUGGCCUUUGGUGCAGUGACAGGUAUCUUGCAGUCCCUUACUUCUACUCCUUGAAGAAAGCAGGACCGAGUACAAGAAAUGAAUAUGCAUCUGAAGUUUAUUGUCUGUGCAUCCUGCUGAAAUCUCCAGGAUUUACUGCGGGAAGUCUGCCCCUGCAUGCCUGCUGUAUGGGCUGAUGCCUGUCAGCUGCCCAGAGCGCUGCUGCUGGAGCACCUCCUGCAUCAGUGGGCUCCUCGUCAUGCAGCAAGGGCUCGGUAGGAGCUGCAGGCUCUUGGCACACUCCUGGUCUUGAUCUGAAAUUAAUUGACACAACUUGAAUCUUUCGGAGAUGAUGCCAGAAGGAAGAACAGAAGACCUGUGAGAAAGCAAAGAUUUAACACACUUUGUGUCUGUUGGUAUCUAUGCUGUUAUACAGAUUUACUUGUGAGAAAAAUACCCAAAGCAACAUUCCUCUAUCACAACGGACCUCUGACAAGCUUUUAGAUGGGAAGAGCUGUCAUACAUACACAGAAACAAAGAAGUCUCAGAAGCAAGAGGAGGACUCCUGGUAUUCUCACUCCCCUCCUGUGCACAUGACCUUCUCUUCUUGAGUCUGAGCCCCAACUCUCCCAGCCUGUCUCCAUAGGAGAGGUGCUUCAGUUCUCUGUUCAUCUUCAUGGCCUCCUCUGGACUCUCUCCAGGAGCUCCAUGUCCUCCUUAUGUUGGAGGCUCCAGAACUGGACACAGUACUCCAGGUCUACACAUCCUGAGACAAUGACACAGAUAGCCACUUGGAGACUCCGCAAUGUGUACAUUGGUGAUAUAUGUUACCAUGGCCUUGAAUUUCUGGGAGCUGGCCAACACUGGAAAUGCCAAGAUACCUUGAGAGAUGUUGCUGUUGAGAUGUUUCCAGCUGGAGUCAGAAGUGUUUGGAGUCUUGAAAGACAGGCAGUUCUUGUAUUGAAUCUAUUCCCAUUUGCAGGCGUUAGAGAUCUGAAUCUCAUUUGUUCCAACCUAACUCAGUAGAACUACUGAAUUCAGUGUGAUGCCAGUUCAAAUCAGUGUGAGAUCUAAAUCCAGCCUUCAAAGGGUUGGAUAGUUUUUGUAAAGAUGAUUAGAAAUUCAGUGUCCUUAUUUAAACUGAAAAUAAAUGCAAAACUUUUUGAAGUCUUCUUGUUAGCUAGAGAGCUCUGUUUUGCAAGAAAGAAGAAAGCUGGCAGAAGUAUAAAUGUUAUCCACAACAAUUUUUAAAAUAACUAUGGGAAAUUAUACACUUUCUUUGAUUUUUUGAGUUGUCACUUUUGGCUUGAGAAGUCCAAAGUUCCUGAGACAAAUUACUCUAAUUUAUUCCUGGUUGUAUGAGUAAGUUUUACAGCAGUUUCUCAGAGGUGAAUGUUGACUCUGACCACCCUUAGGAAAUGCUCUGUGUGUUUUCUCAUUAGCAAAGCACCACAACAUUUACAGCAGCUGCAGUGUAUCUAUGAGCUUGUAGGCGUUGUUACUCCCUGUAAAAGCACUGGACAUUGAUUAGUCUAGACAUUAAGGAUAUAUCUCACUUAAUCUCAGCUGCCAGUCAAAGCUGGCUGGGUAAACUCAACAGUCAGUGAAAAUAGUGGCACUUACACAUGGUGAUUCAUCCCAGCCUAAGUUCAAAUGAGGUAGAUCAGCUUUGGAUGUGUCUGUCUCUCCACCCAGAUGACCUCACACCGUAUUUAUAAGCAGCAAGUCUAGUAAAGACUGAACAUAUGAUCUGUCAUUUCUUCAUAGAUAAUUCUAGGACAGUGACAAUAUGAUCUCAAAGACAAUGUUUCACUGUUGGAAAAUAAAGGGGGUAAGGCAGGUAUGAAUGAGACUGGAAAGGACAAGAAUAAUGUUUUCUGUACCAAAAUUUCAAUUAGGUUACAUUAAGGUCUUUUAUGGUUUACUGGUUUUAAUGAUGCAGCAAAAUUACAACAAAUGAGGCUGGUUGUACUGUCAUUAAUAUAGUUUCUUUGUGGGUGAUUUUUCUAAAUACCUAGAAAAUUAUUCAUUUGGUAUAAAAAUAAAAUAUAGCACUGCACAUAGCAAAAAAAAAAAUAAUAAUAAAAAAAUAAUAUUUCCAGAAAUUAAGUUUCUCACCCAUGAAAAUUUUCAGAUUACUAGUUUUUUUUGACUAAUUGAUGAAUCAUUUAGGCUGCCCUUGCACAAUAUUUAUCUUCCAGCCUUUUUCUGCUGCCUUUGUCAAAGCAAAGCAGUUAAAGCACUACAAAACACUGUUUUGGUCGUUUUCUCUAAACAAAAUAUAUCAAUCUGGUUUGAUAAAAUGUGGAGUAAACUGAAAUAAAAUUGCCUUAAAUCAUAGUUUUUUUAGGACCAGUAUUUUCAGAUUUUAAUGAGAUCUCCUUCCAAAGCAAAAUACUUCAGGAUUGCUUAUUCCUUCCCCAUGACUUCCUGUCAUGACAUCUACUCAAAUGCUUUGUGAGGGUAGGAGCCUUCAUGUUUUCUUUUAAGGUUUCUUUUAAGUGUGUAUAAUGCAUAAUGCAGAAAAGUAAGUAGGAAAAGAGACAUCCACUGCAUGGAAGUGUGACAGUACAGCAACUGUACUUGCUUUUGUGUUGCAUGUUAAGUUAAGAAAAGCCAGUAUAUUGGUAUACUUUUAAAAAUAUUGGUUAAAGUAAUGUUUUUGGGUUUUAGCAGUACAAUCUCUCCCUUCUGGAAGACAUGUAAGACCUAGGAAAUGUACAAGGCUGGGCUCACAGUCAGCCAGAGCCAUGUUAAUACUCCUUACUUUGUUAGUUUAUCCUGAGAAAGGUUAUCUGGUAUUUUCAGGAUAGGUACAGAAAAGAAUCUGAAACUUAACAAUUGAAGUAACAGGUCAUUUGGGAAACUUUAGCUGUGGUACCUUUCACUUUGAUUUCUAAUAUAUAUUGCCUCUAGGCAUUAGACAGACCUUUCCUGGAUUAUUCUUCCUUCCUGGGGGUGAAUUGCUCUAUGUCAAUGUCGCUAUUGGAAUUAGUAAGGAAAUAUUCAGCAUUAGUAGCAGUAGCAUCAGUCUUGCUAUAGAGAACAAGACACUGAAGAUGCUGUUUCUGGAAAUGUUCUAUUGCCAGCAGAAUGAACUCCACUGGGUAACUCAACUGGUUACACAAGGACAUUUUAGAAGAAUAAAUGCUGAUACUGGUGAAGAAUUACUCUUUUUGUGUUGAUAGCACCAAAGGAGUCUUAACACUUCAGUGUAUAUCUUAAACUAUUUUAUCCAAAUAGCUACUCUGCUUGUCCGUCUUUGCCAACAAGCUUUCAUGGUCCAUAGAAGAUUACAAGAGAGUAACACUAAAUAAAACAUAAGAGAUGCAUUAGGAAAUUUUAAAAUAUAUAUAUAUAUUGUAAAAGCUAUUAUUAUAUUAAAUUAUUUUGCAAUAUUA
Long non-coding RNA from Apus apus (common swift), 3995 nucleotides. RefSeq lists it as uncharacterized. The transcript is spliced from 12 exons. Lineage: Eukaryota; Metazoa; Chordata; Aves; Apodiformes; Apodidae. The record is from RefSeq and is a predicted model, not a curated record.